CUCGUGGACCCCACAUUCAAUCACGUUACAAAAACAUGAAGACAUUCUUGAACACACGGACUCACGUGGCACAAAAAAAUAAACAGAUCAGACGUUAACAAAUGUAUUGAAUUCCACAGGUGUUAAAAUUUUGAUAUACAACAAUUUUUACCAAAAUCACCAUGAUCCUCUGUAACAAAUAUUUGACUGUUGCAAGUAAACACCGUUGAUUUCUACUACAAGAAAUUACAGUUACCUUCCAAAAAAACCCAGAAAAAGUUGCAGAUUUUCAGCUUCUUUCACAGCAGCGUGAAUCCCAAUGAGUUAUCAUAUACCAUAAUCGCACACUGUAACCCUCUAAUCAAAAGUCAAAACCCAAGAAACCAUAGCUUCAUUUCAUCAUAUACACAGAUAGAUACACGUAUAUGAGGGUAUUUUUGAUUGUCAAAAACAGAAUAUUCUGAGAGUUUUUGUUAAGAAAAAUGCAAUCUUUUGAUGUCGUCAGAAUCACUUAAAAAAUUUAUGUAUGUACAGGUGUUUUUAUAGAAAGUUGGAAUAUAAUAAUAGAAGAAAAGUGAAUGAACAAAGACUAAAAUAGAUGUGAGUUUCUUAGGAGUUUCUGAAGAAUGAUUUUCUUCUCAUCAAACCUGAAACACACCUACUCUGCAAAGAAACUUCCUUGUGUUUGAACUGAAAAGUCUUGAUUUUGACCUGCAAUUUUUAUUGAUGAACUCUACAAGGAGGCUUUGAACAUAAGAAAAUUAAAGGAAUUUUGUGGGUUUUGAUUAAAAUGAUUUAUAAGAGCAAGAUCACAAGAGGGCUCUCUGAUUUUUUCUAUAUUUCGGAAGAAAAUCAGAGCUUCAAAGAGAGGAGGACAGCAGGGAUAGAGAAAAUAUUGGAAAACAGAGUCAUUGGGAAUUAAAAACACAACGACAUAUUCAUUUUUGUGUUUUUGGACACAUUUACCCUAUGUUUUGUGGGGCUUUAACGUUAAUAUUGCAGGAUAUCUAUGAAUUCUUGGAGGGUAAUUGUGUAAGUUCACAAGUUGGUCUCACAAACACG
Molecule: long non-coding RNA, 1041 nt
Filed under: Olea europaea subsp. europaea
Lineage: Eukaryota; Viridiplantae; Streptophyta; Magnoliopsida; Lamiales; Oleaceae
Source: RNAcentral